RNAcentral lists this ribosomal RNA (465 nucleotides) under uncultured bacterium. RNAcentral describes it as "partial 16S ribosomal RNA". It matches the Rfam family "Bacterial small subunit ribosomal RNA", at positions 28 to 507 of the family's 1533-position model. The record is from RNAcentral.
GACGAACGCUGGCGGCGUGCUUAACACAUGCAAGUCGUACGGUAAGGCCCUUUCGGGGGUACACGAGUGGCGAACGGGUGAGUAACACGUGAGUAACCUGCCCACAACUUUGGGAUAACGCUAGGAAACUGGUGCUAAUACUGGAUAUGUGCUCCUGCUGCAUGGUGGGGGUUGGAAAGCUCCGGCGGUUGUGGAUGGACUCGCGGCCUAUCAGCUUGUUGGUGGGGUAGUGGCCUACCAAGGCGGCGACGGGUAGCCGGCCUGAGAGGGUGACCGGCCACAUUGGGACUGAGAUACGGCCCAGACUCCUACGGGAGGCAGCAGUGGGGAAUAUUGCACAAUGGGCGCAAGCCUGAUGCAGCAACGCCGCGUGCGGGAUGACGGCCUUCGGGUUGGAAACCGCUUUCAGCAGGGACGAAGCUUUUUGUGACGGUACCUGCAGAAGAAGCACCGGCCAACUACGUG